This is a long non-coding RNA of Scomber scombrus (Atlantic mackerel), 1430 nucleotides long. RefSeq lists it as uncharacterized. The transcript is spliced from 3 exons. The record is from RefSeq and is a predicted model, not a curated record. NCBI's taxonomy places the organism in Eukaryota, Metazoa, Chordata, Actinopteri, Scombriformes, Scombridae.
UAAACACAACUUUAUUUAAUCAUGUACAAAGUCUCUUCAUCAUCAUCAUCAUCAUCAUCAUCAUCAUCAUCAGAUAUCAUUUUAGUCUCUCAGGAGAAUUUAAUAGUUGAUAAUGAAAAGAUAAAAAACCCCACAUGAGCCUCGUCCUCCUGCUGACUUCUGAUCAGUUUAACCUGACGAUCAAUCGAUCAGCAGAUUGAUCCUCAGACACCAAAAUGUGAGACAACACGUCCAGAAACUAAAACAACUGCUGAUCACUGUCCACCAAUCAGAGCUGAAGGAAAUUAAAGUUUCUGUACAGCAAUAAAAAAAAAACACACAGACUCACGUUGACUUUGGUUUCUCUACAAAAGAAAAGAAAAAAAAGAAUAUUGCACAAAAAGAAACAAGCUUCUGAUUUUACAGCACUGAUGUUUAACUGAUGUUUAACUGAUGUUUAACUGAUGUUUAACGCCUCACUAAGCACAAUGAAACUAAUCAAUGUUUACAAAUGAAGAAAAUAACCGUCCAGAGCUUUGAUCCUGAUUACAGCGCAGAGAAGAGUAGUUAAUGUGUUAGCAGACACACACACACACACACACACACACACACACACACACACACACACACACACACACACACACACACACACACACCGAAGUUUAACCGUGGAUCCAGAGAGGAAAACGAGGAUCAUGAAUGAUUGUCGAAGGCACUGACGAGAUAAAAAAUGGAAAAUUAAUCAUAGAAAAUCAUAUUUGGAGACAUUUUAGUAUUUUACAGUCGAAUGCUUGUUUUCUUUUAUACAGAUGCAGUUAAACAGGAAGUGAUGUCACAGGCGCCGGUCAGAAAUCAUCCAUGUGAUUGGACGACGACAGGAAGGACAGAAGGGGCAGCAGGGGCCAGUAGGGGGCAGCACCGGACAGUAGGUGACAGCAGGGGGCAGUAAGGGGCAGUAGGUGACAGUAGGGGCAGUAGGUGACAGUAGGGGACAGUAGGUGACAGUAGGGGCCAGUAGGUGACAGUAAGGUGCAGUAGGUGACAGUAAGGGGCAGUAGGUGACAGUAGGUGACAGUAGGAGGCAGUAGGUGACAGCAGGGGCCAGUAGGUGACAGUAGGGGGCAGUAGGUGACAGCAGGGGCCAGUAAGGUGACAGUAGGGGCAGUAGGGGCAGUAGGGGCCAGUAGGUGACAGUAGGGGGCAGUAGGUGACAGCAGGGGCCAGUAAGGUGACAGUAGGUGACAGUAGGGGCAGUAGGGGCAGUAGGGGGCAGUAGGUGACAGUAGGGGCAGUAGGGGCCAGUAGGUGACAGUAGGGGGCAGUAGGGGCAGUAGGUGACAGUAAGGUGCAGUGGCGCACCACAGACAGUAAAGUGAUGUCUGAAUGAAGCUUCAACAGAAAACUCAACAUUUGAACAUUAAAUAUUCAGAUAAACGACGGCGCCUCCUGCU